RNAcentral lists this ribosomal RNA (496 nucleotides) under uncultured bacterium. RNAcentral describes it as "partial 16S ribosomal RNA". It matches the Rfam family "Bacterial small subunit ribosomal RNA", at positions 29 to 507 of the family's 1533-position model. The record is from RNAcentral.
AUGAACGCUGGCGGCGUGCCUAAUACCUGCAAGUCGAGCGAACGGACGAGAAGCUUGCUUCUCUGAUGUUAGCGGCGGACGGGUGAGUAACACGUGGAUAACCUACCUAUAAGACUGGGAUAACUUCGGGAAACCGGAGCUAAUACCGGAUAAUAUUUUGAACCGCAUGGUUCAAAAGUGAAAGACGGUCUUGCUGUCACUUAUAGAUGGAUCCGCGCUGCAUUAGCUAGUUGGUAAGGUAACGGCUUACCAAGGCAACGAUGCAUAGCCGACCUGAGAGGGUGAUCGGCCACACGGGAACUGAGACACGGUCCAGACUCCUACGGGAGGCAGCAGUAGGGAAUCUUCCGCAAUGGGCGAGAGCCUGACGGAGCAACGCCGCGUGAGUGAUGAAGGUCUUCGGAUCGUAAAACUCUGUUAUUAGGGAAGAACAUAUGUGUAAGUAACUGUGCACAUCUUGACGGUACCUAAUCAGAAAGCCACGGCUAACUACGUG